UACGGAGGGUGCAAGCGUUAUCCGGAUUCACUGGGUUUAAAGGGUGCGUAGGCGGGCAGGUAAGUCAGUGGUGAAAUCCCCGAGCUUAACUUGGGAACUGCCGUUGAUACUAUCUGCCUUGAAUAUUGUGGAGGUGAGCGGAAUAUGUCAUGUAGCGGUGAAAUGCUUAGAUAUGACAUAGAACACCAAUUGCGAAGGCAGCUCGCUACACAUAUAUUGACUCUGAGGCACGAAAGCGUGGGGAUCAAACAGG
Molecule: ribosomal RNA, 253 nt
Filed under: uncultured bacterium
Lineage: Bacteria
Description: partial 16S ribosomal RNA
Rfam family: Bacterial small subunit ribosomal RNA
Source: RNAcentral